Molecule: ribosomal RNA, 478 nt
Filed under: uncultured bacterium
Lineage: Bacteria
Description: partial 16S ribosomal RNA
Rfam family: Bacterial small subunit ribosomal RNA
Source: RNAcentral
GAUGAACGCUGGCGGCGUGCCUAACACAUGCAAGUCGAACGGAGUCCAGCCUUUAAGACCUUCGGGUCAAAGAGGGGAAGACUGAGUGGCGGACGGGUGAGUAACACGUGGGCAACCUGGCUCAUAGAGGGGGAUAACAGAGAGAAAUUUCUGCUAAUACCGCAUAAGCACACACUGCCUCAUGGCAGAGGGUGAAAAGAGAAUCGCUAUGAGAUGGACUCGCGUCUGAUUAGCCAGUUGGCAGGGUAAGAGCCUACCAAAGCGACGAUCAGUAGCCGAUAUGAGAGGAUGAGCGGCGACAUCGAGACUAAGAAACGGCCCAGAAUCCUACGGGAGGCGGCAGUGGGGGAUAUUGCACAAUGGGGGGAACCCUGAUGCAGCGACGCCGCGUGAGUGAAGAAGUAUUUCGGUAUGUAAAGCUCUAUCAGCAGGGAAGAUAAUGACGGUACCUGAAUAAGAAGCCCCGGCUAACUACGUG